GGCGAACGCUGGCGGCGUGCUUAACACAUGCAAGUCGAACGGAAAGGGCCUGCUUUUGUUGGGUGCUCGAGGGGCGAACGGGUGAGUAACACGUGAGUAACCUGCCCUGGACUAUGGGAUAACUUCAGGAAACUGGGGCUAAUACCGGAUAGGAGGUCCUGCUGCAUGGUGGGGGUGGGAAAGUUUCGGCGGUUGGGGAUGGACUCGCGGCUUAUCAGCUUGUUGGUGGGGCAGUGGCUUACCAAGGCGUUGACGGGUAGCCGGCAUGAGCGGGUGACCGGCCACAUUGGGACUGAGAUAAGGCCCAGAGUACUCAGGGAGGCAGAAGUGGGGAAUAUGGCAGAAUGGGCGGAAGCCUGAUGCAGCAACGCCGCGUGCGGGAUGAGGGCUUUAGGGUUGUAAACCGCUUUCGCCUGUGACGAAGCGUGAGUGACGGUAAUGGGUGAAGAAGCACCGGCUAACUACGUG
This 468-nucleotide ribosomal RNA is filed under the name uncultured bacterium. RNAcentral describes it as "partial 16S ribosomal RNA". It matches the Rfam family "Bacterial small subunit ribosomal RNA", at positions 28 to 507 of the family's 1533-position model. The record is from RNAcentral.